Fundulus heteroclitus (mummichog) is the source of this 605-nucleotide long non-coding RNA. RefSeq lists it as uncharacterized. NCBI's taxonomy places the organism in Eukaryota, Metazoa, Chordata, Actinopteri, Cyprinodontiformes, Fundulidae. The transcript is spliced from 3 exons. The record is from RefSeq and is a predicted model, not a curated record.
AAAAAGUUUUGAAGUUCAGAUUUUUUCGUUUGAAUCACUUUUUUUUUUGAAGCUCAAAAAGUUUUGAAGUUCAAAUUUUUUCGAUUGAAUCAUUUUGGAACAAACGUACCGUGGUGGGCGGGUGCUUCUCUAUUGGUCAGACAUGUUUGAUUGACAAGUGUCUACACCAACGACGUCUUUCUGACAAAGAAGUCUUGUUCGGCACUCCCCAGGCCAGACAGCUUUUUACCAGCAAGAGGGAACAGCGGUGAAGUUGUCGAAACCUACAAUGAACAGUAAAGCAGUUUGACUGAGGUUGGAGUGCUAGCAAUAGCUCAUUUCCAUCGAACCGAGGAUCGUCGUUUCUUCAUAAGGCGGGUUAGUUCAGGGCGGAGUGGCAGACCAUCUAUUGUUACCAGAGAGCACAUAGACGUCCUUAUGAAGCAAGAACAUACAAUCAAAAAAAAGGCAAAAAUGAUCGGAUGUUCCUCGUCGUUUUUGAACAACAAAUCAAAGCUGGUGGACCUACACAUAAGAGGAAGACUGUCUGCCUUAGAUGACAAUCAGCUGCAAGAGCGUGUGAGCACAUUGCAGGACCAGUAUCCAAACUCUGGGCAUGAGGUUUG